Entelurus aequoreus (snake pipefish) is the source of this 5267-nucleotide long non-coding RNA. RefSeq lists it as uncharacterized. The record is from RefSeq and is a predicted model, not a curated record. Lineage: Eukaryota; Metazoa; Chordata; Actinopteri; Syngnathiformes; Syngnathidae. The transcript is spliced from 4 exons.
GACCCCAGGGACAGAGCCCUAGCCCCGGCCCCCAUAGGAAUCAGGUCAGGAAAUCAAUUUGCGGUGCCCAAAAAGAUCUGAAUUCUGUCAGUUGUUGUUUUGAUUCAGCAGACAUUCUUUCCAUAACUACAUAAUCUAAUAAAAUGUUUUUGUAAAGGUUUAUACAUAAAUUAUUUUUUGAUUUCCAAUUCAUGAGAAUAGUUUUCUUGGCGAUGCCUAUUGCAUUUAUAAGGAGGUAUGUUUUGUUUAUAUCAAAGUCAGUUGCAGAGAGAUCACCCAACAGGCAGAGUGCGGGGGAGAUGGGAAUAGGAAUCUCUAACGCUAAUGAUAGGUUCUCGCACACUCCAAGCCAAAAGUUACUCACGGGAGCACAGGACCACAUUGAGUGUAAGUAGUUAUCUACCUUAUUAUCUGAGCAGUGUACACAAAUGUUAGAGUCAGCUAAACCCAUUUUAUACAUUCUUAGACCGGUGUAAUGUAUUCUGUAAAGUAUUUUGAGCUGAAUCAGUCGUAAAUUCGGAUUCUUAAUCAAACGAGAAGUAUUGAGGCAUAUUUGUUUCCAGAAUUCUGGGUCAAGGCUUGUGGAUACGUCUGAGUGCCAUUUGGAAGUUGGGAUACUUAUUGUGUUAUCUAUUUUUGAUAAGAGAGCAUAUAAUUUGGAUAAAGCUUUGGGGGAAGAUGUUUUGAAGAAUUUAAUGGUCGUAGGAUUACUUUCCCAUGUUGUUUUGUUGAAUCUUGCGCUAAUUACAGAUUUGAUUUGUAUAUAUUCUAGGAAUUUAUUAGGAUUGAUUGCAUAUUGUGUUAUUAAACUUUUAAAAGAGAUAAAACUGUUUGCAUUGAUGAUAUCCCCAAGACAUCUGACUCCUUUAUCAUACCAUGUUGGAAAGUUCAAUGGCUUCUUGUUUAAAAGAAAAUCAGGAUUAUUCCAAAUAGGCGUAAAUUGACAGGGAGUGAGCGGGGAUCCAGUUAUUUUCAAAAACUCCCACCAAGCUGUUAAGGUAGUGCGUAUAUUAAUACUUUUGAAGCAGUUGUGUUUUCGGAGAAUUUGGCUAAUAAAGGGCAAGUUAGAAAUUGGGAUCUCCUGGCUAAGUGAUUGUUCAAUCUCUAACCAUAAACUAUCUAAUAAAGUGGGAUUGGUCCAUUUUAAUAUAUAUUGUAGUUUAUUUGCAAGGAAGUAAUAGGAAAAGUUUGGGAGUUCUAGACCCCCGUAUUCUUUGAGUUUUUUGUAAAGUUUUAAGGCUGAUUCGUGCUGGUUUACUCUUCCAAAGAAACUGAUUGAUGUGUGAGUCUAGUGAUUUAAACCAGAUUUGAGAAGGUUUGGUUGGAAUCAUUGAAAAGAGAUAAUUAACCCUAGGCAAGACCAUCAUUUUCACGGUAGAAACCCUUCCCAUAAGUGAGAUUGGCAGUGCUUUCCAACGCGCCAGAUCAUCCUCAAUCAAUUUUAAGAUUGGGGAGUAAUUCAAGCGAUUCAGAUCUGACAAUGUGGAGGAAAUAUUGAUUCCCAGGUAUUUAAUGUUCCCUUUAUGCAGUGGAAUCGAUGAGGUGCUCUGAAAGUCAAAAUUAAUUGGUAACACAGUAGAUUUGGACCAGUUGAUUGAGUAAUCUGAAAUAGAACUGAAUUUAUUGAUAAGUGAGAUUGUAUCUUGAAGAGAAGAAUGUGGAUUGUGUAAGAAAAGUAAUACAUCAUCAGCAUAAAGGCUUAUUUUAUGAUGAACGGUUGCGGUAUGGAUGCCUUUAAUAUUUGCAUGUAGUCGAAUUGCGGUUGCAAGAGGUUCAAUAAAUAUAGCAAACAGUGACGGAGAAAGUGGACACCCUUGCCUUGUGCCCCUCAUAAGAUUAAACCUUGGGGAGAUUUGGCAAUUCGUUCUAACCGAGGCUGUAGGGAAACUAUAUAGGACCUUGAUCCAUUCUAUAAAUGAGUCUCCAAAUCCAAAUUUCUGUAGAGUAGCUAAAAGAAAAUUCCAAUUCACUCUAUCAAAUGCUUUUUCAGCAUCUAAUGAAACAACAGCUGUUUUUAAAUUAUGAAUAACAGAAUAGUCUAUCACAUUGAGUAGACGGCGAACAUUGUUGGACGAUUGUCUCUCUUUGAUGAAACCUGUUUGAUCAGGAUGUACUAUAUAUGGAGUGACUUUUUCUAAUCUUUGAGCUAAUACUUUGCAGAUAAUUUUAAGAUCAGCAUUAAUCAGGGAGAUUGGCCGGUAACUGGAUGGAAGUGUUGGGUCUUUAUCAGGUUUUAGCAAGAGACUGAUUGUGGCAGAGUUCAUAUUUGGAGGAAGGAAUGAGUUUUCUUUAAUCUAUAAAGCCGUUUUCGUAAAUAUCGGAGCUAGCAGUGACCAGAAUGUUUUGUAGAACUCCACAGGGAACCCAUCAGGCCCUGGUGCUUUAUUGUUUGGCAUCUGUUGAAGAGCAUCGUGAAGUUCAUCUACAGAAAUAGCAAGAUCUAAAUUUGAUACCUGCCUUGUAUUUAAUUUAGGUAAGUCUAUACCAUUGAGAAAUGUCUCAAUGUCUGAAAGAGAUGGGUCGAUCUGGGGUGUAUACAAGUUUCUGUAAAAGUCUCUAAAUAUGGAGUUAAUUUCCUCAGGAACGUGAGUAAUGUUCCCAGCUGAAUCCUUAAUGGAUGGUAUGGAGUUUUUUUCUUUGUUUAAUUUUAGUUGGUUAGCCAAAUAUUUGCUUGGUUUAUUGUCAUGUUCAAAUUUUUCUAAGCGUAACCUCUGGAGCAGGAAUUGACUUUUCUUAUCAAUUAUUUCUCUUAAAUCUAAUUUGAGUUUUCUCAGUUCGUUCAGAGUAUGUUCAUUUUGUGAGUUCGCAUAAGCUAUUUCUAAUAUUUUUAUUUCAUUUUCAAGUUCCUGCUCUAGUAAACGUUCCUUUUUUUUCUUGUAUGAUGAAUAAGAAAUUAUUUUUCCUCGCAUAACUACUUUUGCGGCCUCCCAGAGAAUGCACGCCGUGAUUUCUGGUUGAUCAUUAAAAUCUAAAAAAUCUGUCCAUUCUUUCUCAAAAUAGUUGAGGAAGUCUGGGUCCUUUAGUAAUGAUGUAUUAAGUCUCCAUUGUUUUAUAGGUGCAGUGAUAGUUUUGUUAGUGAGGGAAAGUGAGACAGGUGCAUGGUCACUGAUGAUGAUAGGAUGAAUGUGAAUGUUUGAGAUAUCAGAUAAAAUUGAGCUACUAGUUAAAAAGUAAUCAAUGCGAGAGAAUGAGUGGUGAACUGGGGAAAAAUAAGUGUAUUCCCUAAGAGUGUGGUGAUAAGAACGCCAGGCAACGCAAAGACCAUAAUCCUUCAUAUAUUGCUUAAGUAUUACCACUGAUUGAGACUCACAGUGACUCCCAGUCACUCUGGACCGAUCUAUAUUUGGAUUAAAUACUAAGUUGAGGUCCCCUCCUAGAAUCAAGCAGUGGUUUGAGUGAGGAGAAAGUGAAGAGAAGAAAGUAUGAAAAAAGGAGGGGUCAUCAACAUUUGGACCAUAAAUGUUGGCGAUACAUAAGUUUCUCCCGUCAACAGAAAUAUUAAGAAUGAUGUAUCUUCCCUCUAUAUCAGUAAUGGAGUUAUGGAAUGUAAAGUUGACCUUUCUACUAAUGAGAAUGGCUACGCCUCUCUGUUUGGAGUUGUAACUAGCAAAGUAUGUGUGUGGGUAUUGCGAUGAAUGCAGUUUUGAGGUAUCGGACUUGGAGAGGUGAGUCUCUUGCAGUAAAGCAAUGUCUGCUUGCAUACUCUUCAAAUGAUUAAGAAUUGUUUUAUUUUUUUCCUUUGACCCGACUCCACGCACAUUCCAAGUGACAAACUGCACAGUGGACAUACUAAACUAGACUGUAACUAAGUGUGUGGAUGUAUGUGUGUACUUUAUGUGUAAAUAAUGCAUGUCUGUAUCUAAAUGUAAGCCUAUCAUGCAUAUAUGUAGGUGUGUAUAGUGUGUAUAGUUGUGCAUGUAUUAGCUGUGAGUGUAAAUGCUGAUGACGACAAGGGGACACACACAACAGGUGGAGAAAUAGAAAGAGAAAAGCAAAACAAAAAACAUAAAAGAAAAAGAAAAGAAGAGAGUGGUGGAUUAAACAGGUAGUGAAAUAAGUGACAUAAAAAGGAAAACAAAAACGGAAAACAGUAAACAUGUUGGUUUACCGAAAGAGAGAGAGAGAGCGUAUGGUGUUUACGUGUGCGCUAUGAUGACGCACAGUUGUAUUGUGAGCAAGAGGGGGGGAAAAAAAGAGAGGGAUUGAAGCAUAAUGAAAUAACAAAAACAAAAUACAACAUUUACCGUGUUUCAGACGCUAAUAAUACAGCCACGGCGUGGCUUCCGGAUCACGGUAAAGUUGGCCGUUGAUGAAAAGUUUAUCCACCGCGAUGACUGCACGGCAUCCUUCGGUGAUAAACUUCUUGCGAAGCGGAAACAGAUGGCGUCGCCGGUCGAGAAUUUCCUUUGGAAACUGGUCAUUGAUGCUGAAGUUGGUUCCUUUCAGCUCUCGGCCCUGGUUCCUCACUCGCUCCUUCUGCUUGAAGUGUUCGAAUUUGGCUAUGAUGGGUCUCGGCCUCCUGUUCUCCGGCUUUUUGGCUCCAAGCCGGUGGAUGCGAUGGAAGGUGAUGUUCCUGAUGGUGUCUGCUGGAAGCUUGAGCUGGUGUUCCAUGAAGGUCUUGAUGGUUUCCUCUGGAUCUUCCUCGGUCUUUUCCGGUAUCCCCGCGAAGACCAGAUUGUCCCUCAUGCUUCUCGCCUGGAGGUCCAGCAUCGUCUCCUUCAUGCUCCUGUUGUCCCGGGUGAGUUGCGUCACUCCGUCGGUGAGGGAUUUUACAGUCUCACGAAGAGCGGUGUUCUCCUUGGCGAGAGAAAUUACCUGCUGUUGUCCGAAUUCCAAACUUUCACGGAUGGCUUGGAAUUCCUUGUGGAGCACCUCGACCAGUGCAAGGCGGCCAUCCAAACAAGUCAGCCUCUUGUCGAUGGAAUCCAGGAUGUCGGUGAAGUUUGUACCGGGUGGUGACACAUGGCCAGCAUUCAUUCCUUUUGCCUGGAAAUCAUUUCCUCUCCGGCUGAGUGGAGGCGAAGUAAUACUCGAGGCCCGGCUGGCGUCCUCCCACGACUUUCACAAGCUUCCCUAAAAAGCCGAGCCUGAAAACUCCAACAGGAACACCUGCUGGGGUUCAAGAUGCUCCAUCACAGUCUGGUCUUCACGUGGGUCUUUCUGAAGCUGCACCACAAGAUGAAGAGUGCAGUGCACAACUGCGCACACAACAAGGAGACGAAGCAGACGAACGAGGAAGAUACAGCCAUGGCGACGCCGACGACGAG